This 301-nucleotide ribosomal RNA is filed under the name uncultured bacterium. RNAcentral describes it as "partial 16S ribosomal RNA". It matches the Rfam family "Bacterial small subunit ribosomal RNA", at positions 509 to 808 of the family's 1533-position model. The record is from RNAcentral.
CAGUCGCCGCGGUAAUACGUAGGUGGCAAGCGUUGUCCGGAAUUAUUGGGCGUAAAGGGCUCGCAGGCGGUUUCUUAAGUCUGAUGUGAAAGCCCCCGGCUCAACCGGGGAGGGUCAUUGGAAACUGGGAAACUUGAGUGCGGAAGAGGAGAGUGGAAUUCCACGUGUAGCGGUGAAAUGCGUAGAGAUGUGGAGGAACACCAGUGGCGAAGGCGACUCUCUGGUCUGUAACUGACGCUGAGGAGCGAAAGCGUGGGAGCGAGCAGGAUUAGAUACCCCUGUAGUCCCUGUCUCUUAUACA